This is a long non-coding RNA of Alligator mississippiensis (American alligator), 18230 nucleotides long. RefSeq lists it as uncharacterized. NCBI's taxonomy places the organism in Eukaryota, Metazoa, Chordata, Crocodylia, Alligatoridae. The record is from RefSeq and is a predicted model, not a curated record. The transcript has 3 exons.
GCAUUUCCAGAAUCAAAAAUGAACAUCUGUUCACUUGCCUAUCCAUUCAGUCUACACAGCUAAGACUAACCUGCAAAGAUUGAAUUGAUUCAACCUCAGGCUUUUUGACUGUCUUUACUUCACCCUAGGGUUACCCUGCAUUUCAUACCAGCACGAAGGAGCAGAACCACAGAAAUGUCAAAAGAAGGUACUUGAGGUCAGGGCAUGCAACCCAGUGCCCUGAGGUCGGAUUAAGUAUACCUACACCACCCCCAAUGAGUGCUUGUAGUCUGACUGCUUACGUCCAAGUAGAGAAGCUAUAGGUGAUGCCUCUCCCAAGUGUACCGUAUACCUCCUGUUCACAUCACAUCCCCCAUCUCAUGUCAGGCCCAGUUGGCACAGGUAGAAAAGAUUCCCAACAAGCCUGCUUAUGGCACAGCUUACUUUGGGACUGGUCUGGUGCCUGGUACCCAGAUCCAACCAGCUGCCCUGCCAUUGUCUAUUAAGACAGCAUUGCUAAUGCAUAAUUAAGUUGUGAUAGGAGAUUAUCAGACAGUCUGGACAGAAUAGAUCAGUACAGCUUCAGAAGGGAGGCAACAGGUUGGAGAACGUACAACUCCUUAAGUUGUACCAGAUCCUUCCAUCUCCCGAUUUCAAACCCUAGGACUGAACCAGUCUGGUCUCUCUCGUAUUUCUGAUGUAAUAUUUACCCCACAAUGUAGGAGUCUACAGGUACGCACAGCCCUAAGGGCUAGUCUCUGUAUUACAGUUCCCCGUGGUUGGCAAAGAGACGGGGCUUCUAGCAAGCAGCAAGCACACCUCCAGUUGUAGAAAGUAAAGUAGCCUAUAAUAGGUUUUUCCUUCCAAAGAUGUGGAGUGGGAGCCCCCAGCUUUCACUGAGCCUCCCACAUUAAAAAAUACCAUUCGCCCAUGGGGUUUUUGGUCGUCACGCUCUCUGCAGGGCUCUGGCUACCGCGGGAGAACGCUGCAAGCAUUGGAUUGAGUUUGAGGCAUCGGGGCAUUGGAGACGGAGCUGGAGAAGGUGUUUCUUCAACAGCAGCAGAGGAAUCUGACAUUCACGGUCUUUCAGCCUAAAGCAUCUAUUCUCUUAGUAAAUCAAGAUUUUCACAGUGGUCAACACCGCCAAGUGAAACCGGUGCUGCAUUGAUCUUCCAGGUAGACAGAAAAGCCACACACAGGAACACUCCUCUCCCCGAGGAAAACAAUACCAGCUUUUGUGAAACCCGACAUCUCCGCCUCCCGCGCGUCCUCCACCCCUGCAUCCCUUUGGAACAACAGUCUGAGCUACUGACUUUUAAAAGAGAUGAGCGUAGCACGGAAGAGGACACACACUUGCACAAAAAGGACGAUUGCAUGUGCAAACCCUUUUACGUGAGGACAUAGACGGCUCUACUUUCAGAUGCAUUGGCCAAGUACAACUUCUGGAAGUCACAUCCCCUUCAAGUCAGGUACCAAAGAACCAACACGCCCCCAAACCAGUCACUUUUCAAAAAGGUCCUAUGGAACAAGUCAUGCCCUCCCAGGCUGGCACAGGCCACCCUCUGCACGCUGCAAUGCCAGGAGAAGCCGUUCCACUUGGUUUCUUCAAGUCCCUUUUCUGGACCCAGAUGGAAAACUGAGAACAUUUUAAUCUGGCCUUUGUGCUCGAUUCUGGCAGCCCGCAGCCUGGGCUUAACGUGCUGCUAUAUUAAUUUCUAUCACUUAGUGGAAACCAACUGUGUUAUUCAUAUUUGGUUUCAUUGCGGCACAUAUAUUACUGUGGCAACUUUACAGAUGAAAAGUGCCCGUGCUCCAAGUCGAGACUCAGCCGGUGCCCCCCAGCUCUUGGCACCAGACUCGAGCUGCCCAUGGACCCAGCUGCCGCUCCUGUGAAAGCAGGGGAAUUCAUGCCUGUGCACCAGUCCGUGACAUCAUCCUGGCAUCCCAGCGCUCCUGCUGUGGCCACCCUACCCAUCCAACACCUCCCUGGGCCACAAGCCAGCUCUUCGAGGGAGCGGCUGGAAGAGACACGGCAGGUACUCCCUGCAACCAAAUGGCCACAGACCCGCUGGUACCUUGGGCACCAGUUGGAUCAGAACAUGGACCUGCCAGCUCCUCCUCUUCUCCAUCUUCCCAAGCCCUUGCCCUGGACCAUACCUUUCCUUUCCUCCACUCAGCAUUUAAGGAGGAAUGUGUAAAAUUCUCGGUUGAGUUUGCUAUCUGCUGUUUCCAGUACCGUUUCCUUUCUGUCUCCACCAUGUCUACAAGUGCUCACUGCCAACUUUGGGAAACCCAUGCCAGGCACUUGCACCUCGCUUAAAGGGUUAGCGCCAAGAUUCAAGCCUGUGGAAAAACAUGUUUCCUGAAAUGUACAGCCACUUCCAUUAUUUGGGCAUAAAAAAAUUCACUAGCCUAUUUCAAACCAAACCCCGGCAGGGCUGGCAUCACGCCGAGACUACAUGAAGGUUACAAGUCUGAGUGUCCUUAGAGACGAGCUACGUAGAAAGCUCCACGCUUAGAUGUUGUCUUCUGAAGUACAGGGGGGUGGCCCAAGGUUGUGGUUUUGGGCUUGGCUCCCACUGUAUUUUCAACCAAGUUUCAGGUUUGAGUUUUGGAAGUUCAGACCAUCCAAGGGGCCCACAAGAUCUGAACGGGAAGGAACAAGUCACGCGACCACCCCUGUUCUCCGUCCCAACGACCCACGAUGCACAUGUUCAUAGUCCUCAGCCUUGCCUCUCCCAGCCAGACUGCACUGCUCAAACAGAUUUUUUUCUUGGCUUGUGGGUUAUUAGGAAACCACCAAGCACAUUUCAUGUGUGCCCAAUGGCAGAUGUUAACCCAGCACUCUGGGAGACGAAAGGAUAACAUUGCAAUUCGCUGCUACCGCCGAACUCCCACUAGCUCCAGCAGGUCCCCAGCUGACUGAAGGGGGAAAAAUCUGGCUAAUAAACAGAUGACAUUUUUUUGGUUUUCCAUUUUAACACCUCUGCUCCUUCUACAUUUGCACCUCUCUGUCAUCCAGUAAAGUCUCUACAUUUAUGGAACAGACGGUUGUGCUUACCCAGAGCUAUCGGAUAAUGCCUGGAGCGUGCACACCGUCCUGGGACUCUUAUUACAAGUAAGACUUUUAUCUUGCACGAGUCUAUGAAAAAUCUUAUUAGGAAGAAUGUAAAAUGUGUGGCUUAGCCGCUUAUAAAGCCAUACUGAGCUGUAAAAAUAUCGACAGAGCAAACCAAGUUGUGAAAAAUGACUGUGGGCUUGUCUCUAUUUCAGCCUAAGUGCUGCAACAUGCGCUACAUCUCUGGUUUUCCCACUGGUUCAUAUUUGCCAGUUGGUCAUUUUUAAAUGUUAUAGGUCAGAGGAGGACCAGUUUACAGCAGCUCUGUAGCCUGGUAGGUUUUUCUGAUGACUUUCCUGUUGUAAUCCAGAAACUCAACUUGUACUCAGAACGGUGGCGGACUUACCGUCCUGGACUGGGAAAAUCUAUUUUGACUGGUGGAGCCCAUCCCCUAAUCAGGUAAGGGCUGGGCAGAGCUGACCUGACCCUGCCCAGAGGUGGGCGGGGGAGAAGGAGCUUCCCGGACCUGAUCGAAGCCUGCAUUUUGCAGGUCCGGCAAAACUUUGGGGGCGCAGCCUCCAACGCGAAAAAAAGGAGCCGCGUGCCCAGCACACAGCAGACGUGUUGGGGGACAAUGAAGGAAGAAGGGGCUAAGAAGAGAGCUGCCCGGCAAGUGAAGAGCCCCAAAGACCCUCCCUUGCCGGGACCGACGCCUCUGUCCCAUCGGUGCAUGAAGCGGCGCACGGGGCUCAGACCUUGGGGCUGCUUGCGGCAGUCUGGCCCCUCAUCCCUUGGCAGGUGGCGAGGGAGUGGUGCAGAGAUUGGUGCGUGGAACGCAGACCCCGGGAGCCGCUCGAGGCAGCUCGGGUCCGCAACUCCGGCCAGCGGCCAGGACCACGGUGCAGAGUUCGCUGCACAGAGGGUCCAAGAGCAGACCAGGACUCUGGGAGCUGCUUCAAGGUGGCUUGGGUCCACGCAGCCAGGCUGCCAACGCGGCAGCACCCCACAGCGGGUCCAGGAGCUGAUCGAGCCCAGUGUCACACGAGGAGGGGGCCCAGGCCUCCAACCCCUGCCAUAAAGAGUGAGCCAAAUGGUGCACAGGGCUAUGAGCAGGCCUCAGGACGGGAGAGAGCCCCGGGCAGCACCAGGAGAGGCGCCCAGCCCACAGAGCCGGGGGUCAUGAGUGUUGGGAGCAAGGGUAUCCCACUGGGGAGGAAACCCUCGGGAGGGAGCCAGCAGAGGCCCCUGUGAGGAAGGGGGUCCUGUCCCAGCCCACGAGGAUUUGGAGGGGCCUGGAUCAUCGUCCCCUUUUCCCCUGGCAGAGCUGCAGCUGGGCUUCCCCCCAUUGGAUGGGGAGACCCUAGCAUAGCGGCACCUUCAACACCCAGAAGGGUGAGCAGGCACCUUAUAGUUUGUCAUUUGAGGUUUUACUCUUAUAUGAGUACAAGUGUAUUCUUAUCUUUGAUUUCCACUUUUCAUGACAAUGUUUGUUCCUGCACUGUAACUAGUUACUUGCAUUUAUUCCUCUUGACGUGCUGUAUUUACCGGCGUUUACCUCUGCUCACCUGAUCCAGAUCCAUUACUUACCUGUGUGGGUUGAAGCUCUAUAGGAGGUAUAAGUCAAGUGUAUAAUAUAGUCCUGUACCAUUCAAUAAGUAAUUAUGUAUAUGCAUAUAUACAUACAUACGUGUGCAUGUGUGUGUGCGUACUUUUAUUUUAUUAAUUAAUAAGCCUGUACAUAGUUAAGCAGUUGAGCCCUGGCCUGACUUCAUAAGGAACCAAGGGGAAACGGUGUGGUUGACAGUUCCCUCCCCCAGCAUCUCUGCCUGCUGACAAUCCCCUUCAAUUCGGAGAGGCGGGUACAUACCUUGUGUACACCCAGGCUACCUAACCUAACUCUUAGUCUUUGCGAGCUGUGAGGAUAACCCUCAGAGUGUAAAGCAAUUAUGAAUGCACACGGUGCUGUUUGCCAGGACGGACGUACAGGCAACCCCCGCUUAACGCCGUUUCGCAGAGCGCUAUUUCACUCAUUUUAAAUUGAUACCCGAUUUCAUUUAGCGCUCAGUGAGUUUCAUUAUAACGCUUGCGGUUGCCUUCUUGGCUCAUCACACACAAUCGUGGUUGCCAUCUUGGAUCAUCAAAUACUUUUGGUUUUGCUUAAUGCUCGUUUCACUUAACGCUCGGUUUUUCAGGAACCAAUUAAGAGCGCUAAGCAGGGGUUGCCUAUACGUACAAAAGGACAAUUAAACCCCAAGGCAAAAGGGGCAAGUGCUUUACUGGGUGUCAGCUGACCUGUGUGACUGCUGUGUGCACCCUCUUAUCUCAUGAUAAAAGCCAACUCCCCAACGCAGGAGUAGAGGUGGAUGUCGUUUUCUUGGAUUUUAGCAAGGCCUUCGAUACAGUAUCUCAUCCCAUUCUCAUAAAUAAAUUAACAGGCUGUGACACAGAUGGUUACACGGUCCGGUGGGUGGCAAAAUGGCUAGGGGGUCACACCCAGAGAGUGGUCGUGGACAGGUCAGUAUUGACCUGGAAGGAUGUGGGCAGUGGGGUCCCGCAGGGUUCGGUCCUUGGACUUGUGCUCUUCAGUACCUUCAUCAGUGACUUGGACGUGGGUGUGAAGUGUACUCUGUCCACAUUUGCGGAUGAUACUAAAUUGUGGGGUGAAGUGCACACACCAGAGGGUAGAGAGUGAUUGCAGGCAGACCUGAACAGGUUAGAAGUGGGCAGUACACAAUAGGAUGCAGUACAUCGAGGACAAGUGCAGAGUGCUGCACCUAGGGUGCAAAAAUAUCCAGUAUGUCUACUGGCUGGGAAGUGACCCUCUCAGCAGCACAGAAGUGGAAAGGGGUCUCAAAGUCCUAGUGGACUCCAAGAUGAACAUGAGUCGUCAGCGUGACGAAGUCAUCAGCAAAGCUAACCGCGCUUUAUCGUGCAUCAGCAGAUGCAUGAUGAAUAGAUCCACGGAGGUGAUGCUUCCUCUUAUGUGGCAUUGGUCAGGCCGCAGUUGGAGGACUGCGUCCAGUUUUGGGCGCCGCACUUCAGGAAGGAUGUUGAUAGACUCGAGAGGGUCCAGAGGAGACCACUCGCAUGGUUAGGGGCUUACAGGACAAGCCCUAUGAGGAGAGACGGAGGGACCUGGACCUCUUCAGCCUCUGCAAGAGAAAGCUGAGAGGUGAUCUUGUGGCCGCCUACAAAUUCAUUAGGGGAACACAGACAAGGAUCGGAGAGUCUCUGUUCGCCAGGGCGCCUCUUGGGGUAACAAGGAACAACGGUCACAAACUGACAGAGAGCAGAUUUAGGCUAGAUAUCAGGAAACACUUCUUCACGGUAAGGGUGGCCAAAAUUUGGACUGGGCUGCCAAGGGAGGUGGUGCUCUCCCCUGCCCUGGGGUCUUCAGGAGAAGGCUGGACAGGCAUCUGGCUGGGGUCAUCUCACCCCAGCGCUCUUUCCUGCCUAGGCAGGGGUCAGACUCGAUGAUCUGUUGAGGUCCCUUCUGACCCUAGUUUGGCUCCCACUUGCCACCAGACACCCACGGGAAGUUACCAUAGAGCAGGUGACCUGCAGUAACACCCUGCCCCUUUUGCCCCAGGGCUGAAUUGUCCUUAUGUACGUACGUCCUGUGUGAAACCUCACGGGAAAUGACGUGUCCGUGUCCAGAGCCUGCAACCAACAAGAAGGCCCCAGGUUUGCCUUCUGUCCCCUGCAGUCCCAAAGCAAAGCAGGAUGUGAACUAUUGGGAAAUCCCUUCGCUUACUACGGUACUCAGGUGACAGGAGCCACUGGAGAGGGGACAGUCCUGUAACUGGUAAAGAGCCUCUGCUUAAAAGUCUUACUGGAGACCAGGAGACCUAGUUUCUCCUCUUUAUUCUAUCGGUGCCUCAGUUUCCUUGUCUGAAAAACAGCAAUCACACUUAUCCUCACAGGGAACCAGCCAGGAUAAUGUUUAUAAAAGCACUCGGAGAACCUCAGCUGAACAAUGCUAGGGAAGGGCAAAGUAUCACGUUACUAGAGAACCAGACUCUGGUGCCCUUCGGUUGGGUUGGGCAUCGCCCUCCGGUGCCAUCUGAAAUCAAGAACGCAUCGACAGUCAACACCGAGAUGACCAACGAGGGAGGAUCUAGCAUCUAAGCUACAGAGUCUGGGGACAUCGCGCUCAGCAGCGAUUUACAAUUCCUCCCAAGCCACAUCCCCAAGCGGGGUGUCGAUGGGCAACCCGAGCUUUGUCUCUGGCUUUUCAGCUGAGCCUGCCAAAAAAGUCAGCAUUAGUAGCAGAAGCAGUCGUCACAACAACGUGGACGAGAGCGUAGUAGAAACCGUGCACUUUCCUAUUAGCCGGCUAACUUCUGUCGAGAGAAAUGUGAAAGACGAGUGCAGCAGGUCAAAGCCAUAGGUAAGCACGGGGCAGACAAGCAAUCUGUCUAGCAAGGCUUUGAAAACAGUUGGGGAACAGGAACACUUUCUGGCUCCAAAACUAUCUGUAUUUACCCAGUGAGCUAAACCACCGUAUCCUGUUUGUGAGGAGGAGCAGCAACAGGAUUUCAGGACGUGCGCUGCCAGAGAGCAAAGACCUCGUCGCAGAACGGCAACCCCUACUUACAUUCAUGACGGACACCGGGAUACUUCUCGCUGCUCUAUUCGCCUGCCCUACAAAAUAACCAUCGCCGAGAUAUUAGCGCUAGGUGAUCACAGCUUUCACAAACAUUAUUCCAAAAGGCACCACUUACCAGUCUGACUUCAAAGAGCUGUUUUCACUCCCUUCUUUAAUUUGGCUUAGGGUAUUUUAAACAUGAGACUUGCAUUUCGUUUUGCAAGUGAUAACAUAUCAGAUGUGUCCUUCAGUCAACAUUAUCUGCAGGGUUUCAAGAUUAAAAUAUUGAUUUAAUCCCAUCAGGUCUUAGCAGGAAGUGUGGUGCAUUACCUAUCAAUGGUUUCUUGUCUUUUCAUGUCUCAGCCGCCCGUACCCUACUAUAUGGAUCAUAACUAAAAACAAUAAAAAUCAACCAGCCUAUGGCCCGACUUCUGUCAGCCUGAUGUAGCGCAUUUAAAUACCGGACAAUAAAAACAAGCUUAUUAUUUUAUAAACAGGCAUUUUUGGCUAGGUUUUAGAAGUUGUGGAUUCACUUUGGACCAUAUAUUAGUAGGGGAAAUGCCACUGUUACUAGAGAGACCUGUCACAGGUUGGGAGGUGAGAUUUGCAAGUUGUUAAAAGACAGGACAAAGGGUUGGGUUUUUUUUAACAAAUGUGGAAAUCACACAUGAAAGCUGGCUGGCGCGUUCAGUAGAAAACACCUGAGCAAAUGUCUGUAUCACUAAGUGCAAUGCUUUCGGCACAUUAGGGUCCUGUUCUGCGCAGGUAAUGACUGCACCUGCCAAAGUGAGUAAAAACCUGUUUCACACCCCAGCUACUCAUCUGUGCAAGCCAGGCAGCCGGACCACUGAGUAUGCAGCUUGUCUGCGUGAAGAAGCACGCUCUCAGCACAUACCCACACAUCCAAGAGCAUGUGCAAAUGCAGAAGCUGGGAGGAAGCUGGUUGAAAUGUAGCCUCAAGCAUUGUUUUUGUCAUGAUGCGCAUGUGACAGCAGCCAAAACAGUCGGUCUUGCAAGGAACUGCAGCUGGGACACGAGACACUUCAUGCAUCCUAUUUAGUACAUUUUUUCCCCUAUUUGUAGAUGGAUUAAUUCCACUAGGUCGCUACAGAGUACAUUAGGCAGCUCCACAGGUGGCGUUUCCAUUAUCAUCCAUAAAACUGAAUGCAAAUACAAACAAUUCGUAAAACCAGGAGGGCCAUUUAGCGUGGCAGGUAUAACAUAGGCUCGCAGGACUGCCCUCCGUUUCUUGCGGAAAGUUCCUCCGGUAGUCAUAGUUGAGCAAGUCUCACUUAAAACUUUAUUUCUGGUCUGAAUUUGUCCGCUUCAACUUCCAGCCAUUGGGUUUUGGUAUGCCUCUGUCCCCCGACAUUAAUGGAGGGCCCUCCAUUAUCGACUUGGUCUCUUGCGUAGGGACUUGUGUUGCAUUUAUCAACCAAACUGGUGUUCCCACGAAGAAAAGGUACCGUUAGGUUGCCAAGGUCUCCUUUGGAAAAAUGGAAGUGUUGCUUGUCAUUAAUCUUAGUGCUGUCCCCUGGAGACAAAACUAUAGCUCAUAAACCUUGUUUAACCCCAAGUUCCAGUAUUUCUUUAUCAAGUUCUGUAUCCUCUGGUCCAUUAUUUUGCCUACAAACAUCGUUCUGAAAGACCUAUAAUUGCCCAAGUGAAAACAGGCACGACUUGUUCUGUUGUAUUUUUGUAGAGGUUUUCGAGAAGUCUUUGAUUUGCGUUCUCAAAGGCUCGGGUUGUCGUGCUUCGGUGCCUGAUCUUGCUUGGCUUGAUCUCCCAGGUGGACGGCUGGAGAGUCCGAGCGGCCAGGACAAGCCCUGCCGGGACCAGCUGAUUUCCUUUGAAUCAGUCAUUUCCUAUCUAACUUAGUAGUGCCAUCAAACCAGCAUUUUCUGAGAAAAGGCUAUUCCAUCGGGAAAUUCUCAGGCAACUCAUCAUCUUGUCUAGUCACUUUGGGAAGCACAUCCAGAAUGAAGGAAAACCUGCUUGAAGACAGAUUCCCUGCACUUGUCUUCUAGCUACAUCAAAUGCACAGGCUGGGAAAACCAUCAGUGCCACUUCUUUGCAGCAUUGCUGGUCACAUCACCACCAGUCUGGGACUCGACAGUGCAGGAGCCAACGCACGGCUGGGUUCCCCUUUCUCCGGAAGUAGCUAACGGGGGACCAAGUCCUAACAUGUGAAAGCUAAAGGAUUUGGGAACAAGCCAAAGGAUCUCCCUUGAAGCCUGUUGUUAACCACCUGCACGACAUAAAGCACGCUGAGAUCUGGCCCACAAUUUGCUGUGAUAUGGGGAACUGGAUUAAACCCUCCUACCCCCAUCCCUCCCCUUUGCAGCCUCAGCCUAGGCAUCGCAUCAGGUCUACGGCUAAAGCAUACCUGUGCCUCACGCUCCGGAGCUACAGAAGAGCCCCUUGUGCACUGAGAGCCUUUGGGACUGCUCUAAAUUGCACCACAGACUACCCAGCUCCAAGCUGCCCUAGGCCUAAAGGGCACAGACAUUAAUCUUUGAGUUCCCACUACCCACAUCUUCUUCCAGGCCUGAGCAGAGCUGAUGAUCCAGCCACAUCCGUACUGCCUAGCAAGUCGAUACCAUGACUGAUGACAACCCCCUUCCCCUUGGAGGGGGCGAUCCCAAGGACAGGACAAGGAACGGGACCUUAAUCAUUCGCAUGUCACGGGGCUGUGUUAUGGUUUGCUCUCAUCAGCCUGAGAAAACACCGAGCUGCUUCAAUUCAAGUAAGAAAGGGGGAUGCAACAUUCCCAGGAUAGCAACCCCUGGGCCUUUCCUCUAGCUAGGAUGAGCAUUUUAAAAACUGAAUAAAAAGGAUAUCAAGGUAUGCAUGUACUCGGGAAUGACCCUAGACUGCUCCUGGGAUGGGGCUGAGCACGUUGCUUGUUCAGGAGUUACCUCUACGUCAGGAUGCAUCCGACAGCGGACCCUCCCUCCCUCGUUAAGCCUUGCCCAGGACUGGACCCCCCUUCCUUCAUCUUCCUGUUAGUGGCCUUUAAAAAAAAAUAAGACAAAGCAAAGCCAACCUCUUCUCUGGAUUUGUAUCUCCAGAGAAACUCUCAUGUCCACCAACAAAUGAAGUUCUUGUCCCGAGGGCUGAACUUUGGACACACAUAAGGAAGUUAUUUCCCAGCAGUUAUAUUUCUUUGGUUGGUUGUUCCUUACUUAGAAGGAAACUCAGAGCCAGCCCUGGGAUCCUCACUCCUGCACAACCACUCGCAUCCAGGCCAGCAGAGUCCACCCAGUUAAGGUCUGGAGGACUCCAUGCUAAACUGUCUGCAUUAACAGCCCCCAGCAGGUAGCACAAGCUGGAGACAGGCCCAAGUAUGGAUGCUUGCCUGGGUGAUGUGGUGACUAUCCUGGGAAGGCAGCUAGACCCCUCUCCAGAUGCUCCGAUUAGGAUCUGAAUCCAGACUUUCCCCACACUGCCAAAGGCUGCGGUUACAAGAAAAGUCUCGCGCAGCAUGUGGCUACAGCUGGUAAACUCUUUUCUCUCCAGGCCGUUUCCAGGACGCUAGCAAUCCUGACAUUGUUCCCCUAAGGGUAUUGGUGUCUGGGGUCGUGGGGUCCUGCCAGUGGCAGGGGGUCAGACUGGAUGAUCUAUUCAGGUCCCUUCUGACCCCAAACUACUAUGAAACCAUGAGCUUCCAAACCAUCUUCAUAAAGGUCGCUUCUUCCAACAGUCACCAAGAACGGCUCCUCAUCCCACAAUACAGAAGUGACCUGAACAUUUUGAGCAACAGGGUUUUCCCCUAUUGAUUGUCUGCAACUGCUAUACCCAUUAAAACCACGGCUGCCAAGAUGCAACUGUUGUACUUUUGAAGCCACAGAAGAAAAGCCGAUUUACCUGAGCGAAAGCUAAUACUCGGUUAGCUCCUGUGAAUUUGCCCAACCAAUUUUAAAAUCCAUAACACCUGCUGUACAUUUUUGGAACCACUCAAAGUGAUCAGAUUGGGUCCUUACAGUAAGCGAGGGUGGUAAAGGGCGCCUGCCCUAUUGUGCUGCUGCUCGCUUGAUCACUUCCCUCCUCUCUUCCGUAAGACAAAGACUUUAGCCUUUAAUACAAGAGAUCGUGGUGCCUUUACCUUCUGCAUUACUGAUGCAGAGCUCAGUACACGUCUUCUGCAUUCAUACCGCGCUGGACAUGGAAGGAAGCUUUGCAUGUGGGAGCACUUCAGUGGAGCGCUUGCACAUCUUUGCAAAAACCCUUCUGUCCAUUCAUUGAGGGACAAUCAAAUCCCAGCAAGGCUGUUGAACCUCGCAAAGGUUUUGAGCUUGAGCACAUGCAAUACUAAGUGUGGGUGGUGCUCACUCGAGGAGGAUCAGCCAUCCUCUUUCUUAGUAAUUCUCUCAAGGAACCGGCAACCUGACACAACAGCCUCUAUUUUGAAAGUGCUUCUUGGUGACCAACAUCAGAUGCUGCCUCAGCCUGACAAAGGGUAUUUAUACCCAAAAGCUAGCAAAGAAAUUUUUUUCCAACUAUUUGAGUUGGUCUAAUAAAAGAUAUCAAAUUUACCCAAAGAACCUUGCCUGUCUUGCUUGCUGAGAUUUUAGUGGAAAGCCAUACGUUUCCAUCGCAACACAACAAACUGGGGACCAGUCUGUCAUCUCAGCACACAAGCCCUGCUCAUCGUCAUCAAAAGCACAAGUCAUCAAAGGGAGAGGAGACCUCUACGGCCAGAAAUGCAAAAAAAAAGUCGCCUACUUCAGGUGAAUACCGAUUCAGGUGUACAAGCACCUUUCAGUGAAGCAAGGGAUGCACUGCCAAGAAGGCUAGAUUUCUUUUAUGAACCUAAAACUUUUAGGUUCAAAACCACAGGGCUAGUGAAACAAUUUUUUUCUUAUAAGUUUGCUUAGUUUGUUGUGUUUUAUACAUCACAGAUGAUAUAGCAAACUAGAACUUUUUUUAAAAUGUCCAUUUGCUUAGAUCUUGAACUGAAGAAUAUUAGCCUUCAGCCCCUAGCAUAUUCUUAACAUUGCUACUUUAUUUUUUAACUGGAGAAAAAUAUAGAUUAGGUUAUAUGGGGUGAUGCAACACACUGUCUGCGCCACCCCACCCUUUUCAAAAUCCUAGAUCCACCCAUGGCUACAUGGACUGCAACAGGUUGGACCAGUGUCCCUCAACAGAGCAUUCAGCUUGGUGUCUCCUGAAGCUGCGAGGGCAGGUGCUGCGGUGUUUAAAGCUGGACAAGGCGGCUAGGGACAAAAAUUACAUAUAAACUGGUAUAAGUGACAGGAAACUGGUUCAAAUCUGUAACACAACAGAAGUUCAGUGCACAUAACCCGCUUUCAAAAUGGCUGAAACUGGUUUAAGAUAAACCUGGAUGGAUGUAGUAUCAGACUUCACUGGUUUAGGUUAAAUCGGUUUAUUGAAUUUCUGUCCCAGAUCUCCUCCAGAUUCACAGUCCCCCAGCAUCCCAGGAUGCUUUGCAGCUCCCCAGCAAACCCACCUUCACAGGGUGCAUAGGCUAGCCUUGGCCCAAGCUGCCUGCUCCAGCCCAGCAGGGAGCCCUGCUCUAGCGCCCCCCGGCUUCUGACCUGGGCCACUGCAGGCAUGUGGCUGCAUUUCCAGCAUCAAGAGUAAAUGUCUGUUCAUUUGCUUAUUGGUUCAAUCUGUGCAUUUUACACCAACCUGUAAAGACUGAACUGAUUCAGCCUCGGGCUUCUCGACUGUCUGUACUUAGCUCGAUAGUCAGCAGUGGUAAGCACCAAUUCCCAUGUCACUUCAAUCAGUAGAAACCAACAUCACUUCUUACCUUUAAUACAGUAUAAGCACAGAUGAAUCCGAUAUAAACCGUGCUAGUCAGGGUGAGUUAGCGUUUCAUAGCCUAGCCCCCACUGUAUAACUGACCGACAGAGAAAGUAAAGCCAAGAGCAACGUGCGUGAAUCAAAAUGGUGUGUGCCGUAUUGCAUCUGCAACCCCCCUGACAUGUGCAUACCACAACCCACACGCACACGCCUGCCCCGUGCCAAGACAGAAGGGUGCGAUUCUGGUGGAAAUCAAGAGUAAUUCCAUUGCAAUCUCCUGCAAGUGAAACCUGCACAAGAUAGGACUGAGGGGGAAAAAAUGCUAUACACGACCAGUGGAGCAUCUCAGUUUUGAAAAGUCAAAUGCAGAUAAGAGCACGAUCCAGCACUUUGCAGGAGGCACAGUGCAGAAGGCAGGGUAGAAAUGCACCAUAUAGACUAAGUGAAUCAGAGAUGCUUUGGUUCGCUUAGUCUACAUGAUGCAUGUCUACCUUGCCUUCUGCUUGAUUUCAGGCUAACCCAGCUAACUUCCUCAAUCCAGCUCUUUAUGACUGCUGAAUAAUCAUCUUCUUAAGCCAACGUGAGCAACUGGUGUGAUCCUUCCUGCCCUGCUCAGAUAAACACCUGCGCCUUCUCUUGGUAGCCCACAGACCGAGGGGGGAGAGCCGUCUGCUAUCUACCCACACAGUGAUGCAGAGGUGCAGGCCAUGUUCACCUAGAUCCCCCACCGUGCACUUCUCAUGUAGCAUCAGGCUCUCUCUGAAGAGGAGGCUCCUUGGGUUAAGCUCUUAAUACCCAAUUAAUUAUUUUUCACGUUGCCCUUAAUACUUUUGCCUCAUGUUUUCAUAAGUGCAGUAGCAUCAGAUUUUCCAGCCCAAGAACUCUCUGCUGUGUAACAAACAUUGGAGUUCAAUGGCACGCUCAGUAAGUGCAAAGGGUCACAGGAGAUUAAAGAUGACAUCAUUUGCUUUGCCAUUAAUCCUGUGUUGAAUAUUAUCCAGGAGAGAGUAAUUUUUAAUGGGGCCCUGGCUUGUCUUGUUUAAACUUGCACAUACCUGAGCUGCUUUUAGGCCUGAACCCACAGAAAAGAAAAUAAUGCAACUUGGCUUUGGUGCAAGCGAGACGUGCUAAGAGCACAAAAUCCACCUCCUUUUAUCUCUGCAUUUACUCAGUGGCGCAGAGUCAAUAGCAGAAAAUGGAGAUUGUUACAUUACGGCGCACCUAAUAAUACUACAGCAUUCCUAGUGCCAAUUAACUCCAACCCAUUUCAACACUGCAAAUCAUUCAUAAACCACUUCAGAUAAUAUAACUGAUGGAGGCAGUAAAAGAGGAAAAAAUAAGCACAAUGUGAGAGUUGAGUAUUCAUACCCGCACCGCAUGCAUGGCACCUUUGUUCCAGAGAUCUCCAGGUACUUCGCCAACAAACAAGCCAUAGCGCUUGUGCAAGGUUAUUCAUUAUUAUGCCCCAUGUUUUCAAGUGUGGGUCCCCCAGAACGACCCUCAAGUCCUCAAGUUGUUCACUUGUGCAAUCCAUGCGGCUAAUACUUUUAGUCCUUAACAACUUUCCUUCAAACUCACAUUUGCUGCAACUUCUAUAGCAACUUCAUGGGUCAGCUGCUGCUGUGCCAAGUCCAUUAGGCACCAGAUUUCCAUCUGAGCCCAGCAAUGCACUGGGCUACGAUGGUUAAGACAUGCCUGCUCCUGGAGCCACAGGUUCAUACAACCAGUAAACCCGUUUAUGGCUGAAUGGACAGCGGGCAGCCUUUGGCACAAGUCUAGAGAAAGGCUCAGACUCGUGCCCCUGAAGCCAUAAUGCGAUGCUUAACCCCACUUCCAUCAUAUCCCAGCAUAUUUAGGCACCCAAUACAUGCGUUUAAGAGCCUAUCUUUCAGGUGCGUGGCAAGGAUUUCUUAGGGUGAUCUCUUUGAUUGGACCAACUAUGUAGUGGGAUCGAGUUAGACAAGCUUUUGAAUGUAAGACAUCCUUCCUCAGGUCACACUUUUAAUCUUUAGGGUCUCACUUUUCAAACUUUUGAUUCAUUGCUGCUUUACAAGGGGCAGAGAGAUGAAACCAUUGGCCUAAGUUUGCACAGGAACUCAGUGGAAGAAGAAAAAAUGGAAGUAGAAGCCCGGAUCCUUUUCUAAUCACAUACAAUUCAAUUAACCUGGAGCGCUGGAGGGCUGACUUAUGCCAAGAGCACAACUACUUGUCUGAGUCACGACUACCCACGGGAGGACGGGGACUGAAACCAGACCCCUAGAAAAGGCUGUAAUUUAUAUAGAGCUGCAGUUUGGAAACUAGUCAGGAUUUUUCAACUGUACCCGGAGAGAUUUUAUCUGCUGGUGUUGUGGACUGGUUUGUGUUCUGCUUCUAGCCUCCUUCUCAGGAAGAGAUCUGGUUGGAGGUAUACAACACAGAAAGUGUCCAAAUAUUAAUAGAAGAACAUCUGUUUAGUAAGACAUUUUUUUACCACCUUCUAGAAGACCCUGUUAGCAAUAGCAGAGCAUUUCCCAUGCGCGGGUCAAGUGCGUGCUGACUUUUCCAGUGUUGGAAUGGAGAGUUUUGAUUCCAGAGCCAGAUGCAUGACAAAAGUUGAGGCUUGUACUAACAAAAAUAGAGGAGAAACUAGAGGGAAAAAUAAAUGAAACAGUGCAGUAUUUGAUUUUGAUGAAGGUAUCUCCGAAUGCAUAUCUCUGUGGAGGUUUGCAACAUGUGAGCCCUGAGAGCACGACUUCCUGCACUGCGAGGGCAGGUCUGGUAGCUCCUGGGGGUCUCCACCAGGCAGACUCUCUGCUGCGCUCGUCCCAUACGAACGCCAAACACCGGUCCCUGCCCCACAGAGCCCACAAACCAGAAGACAGGAGCCAAAAUCUGAAGGAGGAAAAUAUUUGGUGGGGGAGGAGUAGGAAAGGAAAUAAAAAUAGGGUUCCCUAGGACAGAGUCACUGUGUGCAUGGGUCCUGGCUAAUCAACUGUGAUCAAAUACUGGGCCCAAUAUUCCUAAAAGCACCAGAAUUGAAGGCAGAAAGGUAAUUCAUGGCUGAGAGCACUAGGGCAAGUAGGAAAGCAUUUGCAGGAUGAAGCCUGAACCCAAGUGGGACCCAAUCCAAAGCCCAAAGUCACCGUAAUGAUUCAAGAGUCACUGCACCGGGCCCUUACUGAGGUCUGACCUCUCACUCAGCACUUAGUGCUUAGCAUGCUAAAAACGAUCAGUCACUAAUUAACCCUCACUAACCCCUGGGAGGAAGGCCGUUAUGCAUUUUCUCCUUUGCAUAAAAGGGGGGGGAAGCAAAAGCAGAGGAAAAAUGGACUUGUCCAACAUUAUACAAGCAAUUGGCAAUAGCAAGGGUAGAACUUGGGACCUCCUGACAUGUGGGGCUGUAUCCACCCCUUCAGGGGCUCACAUAGCAGCUGCUUCUUCACUUGUGUAAUCCAGGCAGCUAAUUUGUUAAGGACUAAAAAAUCUUUCCUUCCAACCCACGUUUGCUGCAACAUCUUCAGCAAUGUCACGGGUCAGUGGCUGGCGUGCCAAGGUCCGUGCGGAGCGAGCUGGCCAAGCGUCUCGUUUCCUGGAGCUGCUCCACCGGCUGGUACCCACCUGCCCUGAUGUCCCACACUCGGACUGGAAACUCUCUGGAGCAGGGAUUAGCCUUUUGUUCUGCUUGUCCCACCCCUAAGCACGCAGGUCCUGAUCAACAAAUACAGGUAGGGGUGGUAGAAUCCAUCCCCCUGGUAAACUGUCCGGGGCAGAUUAGGAUUUUCUUGGACAUAUUUCCUAUUUGUGACUAUUCACCUGCAAAUGACUUUUGUUCAGUCAAUUGGGCAUGAACAGUGUGUCGCGAGUAUGGUAAGCUAUACCAGCUAGCCUUGCUGGGAAAACAGGGCACGUGCUAUUGCCUGUGCCCGUUAGCUGUAUAAAGGUUGAUAAAAUCAGCUUGCUGGUCUGAACGCCGACAUGGAGGAAGUCAAAAUUUGCUUUUCCUGAACACACUUAAAGUUUGCAGAAAGAGCUAACUUCCUGCCAGAAAGGUUCAUUGACUCUAAAUUUUUUGAAGCUGAAGAAUAUAUACAUUCAAGGAUGCAGGCUCAGCUCAAGUGGGUUCAAAUUAUUAUUCUAGUGAGUAGAUGUGUAGGGGGUCGGGGCAGUGUUUUAAAAAGGUGCUUGCCCAAGGAAUGAGGGGAUAAGCACUGGAAUUGGGCUUUUAGAUAUGCCUUUCUCGGCAUGAACACACUGAUCUCUCUGAUGAUUGCAGCCAGGGGCACAUCCAGGGGGAGGAAAGGGGAGAGUGGUAUAGCUGCACCCCGUUGAAUCCUGCUGUACCCAAACUUCAAAACCAACUGCCUGGGAGCGGCAAUGGCAUUUCUAUUCAGGCAGCAACGAGGGCUCAUUCAUGGCUCGUUAUAAUCUACCUCCUUCUUGCUAAUCUCCCUUUAAUCCAGAGCUGUUAACAACCCUCUCUCUCCUUUUUAAUCAUCUUGAUGUUCCACUAUUCAAACCAUCCUUUCUUCUCAAUGUUGCUAUCCCUUAGCCAUUCCUGGAAAUGCCUCUCUUCCAUUUCCCAGCCCAGCAGACUGCUGUAGCUCUAGCUAAAAGCUUUAACUCCGGUGCGGAAAUGACUGACAGUGAAGCAGUGGCUGCAUCGUCAAAACACUCACGCCGACGAGUCUGUUUUGUGAAUCUGAAUAAGACACGUACAUUUAAUUAUCAGGACCACAAGACUAACAGAGCAAUGUCUUUUGACAAUGAUUUGCCUCGUUUGUUGUAUUUUUAAACCGGUAUGUAUGAUCUACCAAAUUAAUGCGCAUUCCAAUAAAGUUAUAUUUCUUUUUCCUUUGA